RNAcentral lists this non-coding RNA (26 nucleotides) under Rattus norvegicus (Norway rat). The record is from RNAcentral. Lineage: Eukaryota; Metazoa; Chordata; Mammalia; Rodentia; Muridae.
UCUGUUUGAUGUCUGUGAGCUGGGAA